UACGAAGGGGGCUAGCGUUGCUCGGAAUCACUGGGCGUAAAGCGCACGUAGGCGGAUUGUUAAGUCAGGGGUGAAAUCCUGGAGCUCAACUCCAGAACUGCCUUUGAUACUGGCAAUCUCGAGUUCGGGAGAGGUGAGUGGAACUGCGAGUGUAGAGGUGAAAUUCGUAGAUAUUCGCAAGAACACCAGUGGCGAAGGCGGCUCGCUGGCCCGAUACUGACGCUGAGGUGCGAAAGCGUGGGGAGCAAACAGG
Molecule: ribosomal RNA, 253 nt
Filed under: uncultured bacterium
Lineage: Bacteria
Description: partial 16S ribosomal RNA
Rfam family: Bacterial small subunit ribosomal RNA
Source: RNAcentral